UUUACUUGAAGAUUGGCAACACUAGCAAGAAAUUAAAACCAGCUGUCAAAUCGUUCCCGCUUUCUCAUCGAAAUUCGAAACAUGUUGUCUGUUUUGAUUUUGAUGCUGCUGCCGAAAUUCGUCAUUUUUUCUCCGGUAAAUUAAAGUGCGCGUUCCUUUGGCCACCGUCAUCAUGUAGCCGAUACGUUAUUAUCUCUGGCAGAAGGUUUAAAACGGGAGAAACGGCAUCAUGAUGUAGAAAGUAAUGGAGUAAUAAUCCGAUGUAAAAAUCGUCAAAGUGAAACGACGGAUAGUUUUUAACCGGACCGCACCAAUUAAAUAACAAGAUCUCAGUCGCUGCUCACCGAUCCGGAGCUGCAGGCCACACAAAUAAGCUGCAGGCCACGAGUAACACUUUGUGAAACAUUCAACGAUUUGGUGCAUCGAGAUAAAUGUCAAACUGUUAAUCAAUUGCCAUUGAAAUUCCCUGAAGGGCAGUGGUUUUUAUAUAUCAUAGUGAAAUACAUCACCGAAUAGCUGAAGAGGAAGAAGGAUGACGGAAACGGAAGACGGAACAAAAAGCAUUGAUGAAAGAGAUCACUCGCAGGAAAACCGAUGAGGUGUGACCUGAUAGGACGUGGUUCUAGUGGAACACUAAACCCCCCUGCGUAGCGGAACGGCUGGGUUAGACAGCUAGCCCCGUAUACUUUUAGUGAAUAAAUCAUACAACAGUUUCCUGGCCAGUAUGGUCAAAAAGAGUGCAGGAAUCAGCUACUGAUGCAGAGGAAGGUCGAACAACAGCGUCUAUUCGGAUACAGCCUAUUCCGGAAAAGUUGCGAUGCGCGAUGCAGUUGCGAGAUUGACAUUUGGGGUAAACGCCAGCGGUAACAACUCGUCAAUCGUCAUCAACGGCAUCUUCCAGCAAUUGAGGACCUGUUCUAUGAAGCAGCUAAUACGGAGGAGAAAUUAAAAUGAAUAUAAAUAUUUUAAAUAAAUAUAUAAGAUGAAAUAAUAAAUAAAUCGAAAAGAAUGAAAUUGAAAGCACACAAUCAUUUCAAAA
Long non-coding RNA from Armigeres subalbatus, 1039 nucleotides. RefSeq lists it as uncharacterized. The transcript is spliced from 3 exons. The record is from RefSeq and is a predicted model, not a curated record. NCBI's taxonomy places the organism in Eukaryota, Metazoa, Arthropoda, Insecta, Diptera, Culicidae.